GAUGAACGCUGGCGGCGUGCUUAACACAUGCCAGUCGAACGAAGCAUUUAGGACAGAUUACUUCGGUUUGAAGUUCUUUAUGACUGAGUGGCGGACGGGUGAGUAACGCGUGGGUAACCUGCCUUGUACUGGGGGAUAGCAGCUGGAAACGGCUGGUAAUACCGCAUAAGCGCACAAUGUUGCAUGACAUGGUGUGAAAAACUCCGGUGGUAUAAGAUGGACCCGCGUCUGAUUAGCUAGUUGGUGAGAUAACAGCCCACCAAGGCGACGAUCAGUAGCCGACCUGAGAGGGUGACCGGCCACAUUGGGACUGAGACACGGCCCAGACUCCUACGGGAGGCAGCAGUGGGGAAUAUUGCACAAUGGAGGAAACUCUGAUGCAGCGACGCCGCGUGAGUGAAGAAGUAAUUCGUGAUGUAAAGCUCUAUCAGCAGGGAAGAUAGUGACGGUACCUGACGAAGAAGCUCCGGCUAAAUACGUG
RNAcentral lists this ribosomal RNA (481 nucleotides) under uncultured bacterium. Its description in RNAcentral is "partial 16S ribosomal RNA". It matches the Rfam family "Bacterial small subunit ribosomal RNA", at positions 28 to 507 of the family's 1533-position model. The record is from RNAcentral.